RNAcentral lists this non-coding RNA (243 nucleotides) under Finegoldia magna. Its description in RNAcentral is "T-box sequence". It matches the Rfam family "T-box leader". Rfam says of the family: Uncharged tRNA acts as the effector for transcription antitermination of genes in the T-box leader family. T-boxes are found upstream of many aminoacyl-tRNA synthetase genes and some amino acid biosynthetic genes usually in Gram-positive bacteria. The anticodon of a specific tRNA base pairs to a specifier sequence within the T-box motif, and the NCCA acceptor tail of the tRNA base pairs to a conserved bulge in the T-box antiterminator hairpin. The record is from RNAcentral. Lineage: Bacteria; Bacillati; Bacillota; Tissierellia; Tissierellales; Peptoniphilaceae.
UAAUUCAAAAGUUGAAGAAAGAGUAAUAAUGAAUCAUUUAGUUCAGAGAGCUAUUGUUUGGUGAGAAAUAGUGUAAAUAUCAUUAUGAAAAUCAUCUUCUAUUACUGGUAUGCUGAAGAAAGUAAGUGUACCCGUUGAGGCACAUCGUUACCAAAACCGUAUAUUGAUAGAUAUACUAAGCGUCUGUACAUAUGCAUAAUAUUUACAGGAACAAAGGUGGUACCGCGAUUAUUCGUCCUUUAU